RNAcentral lists this ribosomal RNA (527 nucleotides) under uncultured bacterium. RNAcentral describes it as "bacterial SSU rRNA". It matches the Rfam family "Bacterial small subunit ribosomal RNA", at positions 8 to 526 of the family's 1533-position model. The record is from RNAcentral.
AGAGUUUGAUCAUGGCUCAGAUUGAACGCUGGCGGCAGGCCUAACACAUGCAAGUCGAGCGGUAACAGGGGAAGCUUGCUUCUCGCUGACGAGCGGCGGACGGGUGAGUAAUGUAUGGGGAUCUGCCCGAUAGAGGGGGAUAACUACUGGAAACGGUAGCUAAUACCGCAUAAUCUCUCAGGAGCAAAGCAGGGGACCUUCGGGCCUUGCGCGAUUGGAUAUGCCCAGGUGGGAUUAGCUAGUUGGUGAGGUAAUGGCUCACCUAGGCGACGAUCCCUAGCUGGUCUGAGAGGAUGACCAGCCACACUGGAACUGAGACACGGUCCAGACUCCUACGGGAGGCAGCAGUGGGGAAUAUUGCACAAUGGGCGCAAGCCUGAUGCAGCCAUGCCGCGUGUAUGAAGAAGGCCUUCGGGUUGUAAAGUACUUUCAGCGAGGAGGAAGGCAUUAAGGUUAAUAACCGCAACGAUUGACGUUGCUCGCAGAAGAAGCACCGGCUAACUCCGUGCCAGCAGCCGCGGUAAUAC